UGAUGUCAUAGAGUGCACCAUGAUUGCCAUGCUCCUUGGUGAUACUGAGAUGCCAGGAUUAGGGUGACCAGGCUGGAGAGCCCUUUGAAUUAAGCAAACGUUGUGUAUAGCUGAAGAAGUCCUGUUGAAGUGAUAGGCUGGGUUAGGAAGCAUAUUGCAACAUUCACUUAAAUCCUUACCACAACUUCCAAGAAGUAAAAUGCCAUAAAGAGAAGAUAAAGCUGAAUUUGGAAGGAUGGAGUAUCUUGAGUUGCCACUUUGGAUAUGAUGGACAAGUCUUUCUUGGAAUGUAUUCCC
Long non-coding RNA from Lepidothrix coronata (blue-crowned manakin), 297 nucleotides. RefSeq lists it as uncharacterized. The transcript has 3 exons. The record is from RefSeq and is a predicted model, not a curated record. Lineage: Eukaryota; Metazoa; Chordata; Aves; Passeriformes; Pipridae.